Molecule: long non-coding RNA, 832 nt
Organism: Spinacia oleracea (spinach)
Lineage: Eukaryota; Viridiplantae; Streptophyta; Magnoliopsida; Caryophyllales; Amaranthaceae
Exons: 3
Source: RefSeq, a predicted model, not a curated record
GUCACUCCAUACUCAGGUAAAUUUACUUCUUCCCUCUUGUGCACAGUCAGCCCCUCCGGCCACCAUCACCGGCCACCAUCACCACCGGCUACUUUUCAAGUGUCCUUUAGAAAAUACUUCCGUCUUAAAAAAGGGAAAACAAAAAACACUUUUUAACCAAAAAAAAUUUCCCGCCUUCUCUUCAAAGUCUCCUGCAAUUCUUCUCUGCUUCAUUCCCCGCACUCCCUCUCCAGCGCCCUUAUGUGCCGCCGUCAUCUUGAUAAAAACAUCACCGGCAUACAAAUUAUCAGCGUCAACCACCACCGUCAAGUAUUAAUCGAAGUUCAUAGUUGAUUUCGGUCGGGAAUCUUCAUCCAGAUCUGCUCAUUCCGGGUUACACAAGGGCUUAUCUCCUCAAAUUCAAUGAAUUUCCGCCGCGAAACUCGAAAUUCGAUCCGUUCUGUUCAUAACAGGAUGCAUAAAUCAAGGCCAGUUCUGUGAGAUCCCUAUACACACUACCUAGAUGAGGAGACUACCCCAUCUGGUGCUCUAGCAAGAGGAGUUUACUUGGCAAAGCUCGGGGUUUUCACAACUCCAAAGGAGGGGCCCUUUACCAAAGAGGAGUUGGAUGAAGUUUAAGACAAGUGGGCUACUUACUUCAACGAUUGUGAACUACCCUCAGUGUAAUAAAUAGAGCAGUCUUGUAGUUAUCCGUGACUCUUAUAUUAUUUUAUUAUUUAUCGAUUUAAUUAAUUAUAUUUGAAUUAAUUCGUUAAUAUUAUUGGAAAUUUGUAAUUUAUAUCAUUUUUUAGGAAUGUCAAGCUGAUGUUUGGUGAAACAGUAUUCUAUAAAU